This 1035-nucleotide ribosomal RNA is filed under the name Alexandrium pacificum. Its description in RNAcentral is "partial large subunit ribosomal RNA". It matches the Rfam family "Eukaryotic large subunit ribosomal RNA", at positions 202 to 1192 of the family's 3401-position model. Lineage: Eukaryota; Dinophyceae; Gonyaulacales; Pyrocystaceae. The record is from RNAcentral.
AUCAAUGAGGGUGAGAGUCCUGUUUGUCAUGUGCAGCCUUCUGUGCACGGUGUAUAUUUGCUGAGUCACACUCCUUGGCAUUGGAAUGCAAAGUGGGUGGUAAGUUUCAUGCAAAGGUAAAUAUGCAAUUGAGACUGAUAGCGCACAAGUACCAUGAGGGACAUAUGAAAAGGACUUUGAAAAGAGAAUUAAAUGAGUUUGUAUUUGCUAAACACAAAGUAAACAGACUUGAUUUCCUCAGUGAGAUUGUAGUGCUUGCUUAACAAUGGGUUUUGGCUGCAAGUGCAAUAAUUCUUGCUUUGUGUGCCAGUUUUUAUGUGGACAUUUGAUUACCUUUGCACAUGAAUGGUAAUUUUCCUGCGGGGUGUGGAUUGCAUAUGCAUGUAAUGAUUUGCAUGUUUGUUAAAUGUGUCUGGUGUAUUUGUUUGUGUCCUUGUCCUUGAGGUUGCUUUCUCCCUUGGGCUUACAUGCCCUGGCACACACAUUCUGGCAAAAUGCUUCUGCUUGACCCGUCUUGAAACACGGACCAAGGAGUCUAACAGAUGUGCAAGUUUGAAGGUGGUAUACCUGUGUGUGUAAUGAAAGUAUUGGCUGGGAUAUUUGCACCAGCAGCCGACUAAUUAGCAGACAGAGGUUUGAGUUGGAGCAUAUCUAUUAGGACCCGAAAGAUGGUGAACUAUGCUUGAACAGAAAGAAUUCAGAGGAAACUCUGAUGGAGGUUCGUAUCGAUACUGACGUGCAAAUCGUUCGUCAUAUUUGGGUAUAGGGGCGAAAGACUAAUCGAACCAUCUAGUAGCUGGUUCCCUCCGAAGUUUCCCUCAGGAUAGCUGGAGUUGCACAGUUUUAUCAGGUAAAGCGAAUGAUUAGAGGAAUUGGGGACAGAUGUGUCCUUGACCUAUUCUCAAACUUUAAAUGGGUAAUAUGUAGUGGUUGCUUGAUGGAACUUCUAAAAUGAAUGGCAAUAUUAGGUGGGCCAUUUUUGGUAAGCAGAACUGGCGAUGAGGGAUGAACCUAAUGCUGGGUUAAGGGGCUUAA